Streptomyces viridochromogenes DSM 40736 is the source of this 253-nucleotide small RNA. It matches the Rfam family "Streptomyces sRNA 4677". From Rfam's summary of the family: Located in the intergenic region between anti-sigma factor SCO4677 gene and a putative regulatory protein gene SCO4676. scr4677 expression requires the SCO4677 activity and scr4677 sRNA itself seem to affect the levels of the SCO4676-associated transcripts. The record is from Rfam. NCBI's taxonomy places the organism in Bacteria, Bacillati, Actinomycetota, Actinomycetes, Kitasatosporales, Streptomycetaceae.
CGCUCCGGUGCCGUCGGCGACUGAAAGGCGAAGAACCCCCGAGGGAAAGAACCCCUGCCAAGCCCCACCCCUCCCGCCCGCGUCCCGUGCUCACUCGCGCGGGUGAACCUCCCCGGACCGGCUGGAUUUCGCGGCCCUCGAGGCCCGACGCUCAGCCCAACGCACCACCACAACCGCAGACAUGCGACGGCCCCCGCCGGGACGGCAAUCCCAGUGCGAGGGCCUGACCACCGAGGAAGAUAGAGGCUUCCCG